RNAcentral lists this ribosomal RNA (482 nucleotides) under uncultured bacterium. RNAcentral's name for it is "partial 16S ribosomal RNA". It matches the Rfam family "Bacterial small subunit ribosomal RNA", at positions 30 to 507 of the family's 1533-position model. The record is from RNAcentral.
AUUGAACGCUGGCGGCAUGCCUUACACAUGCAAGUCGAACGGUAACGGGCCUUCGGGUGCCGACGAGUGGCGAACGGGUGAGUAAUACAUCGGAACGUGCCCGAUCGUGGGGGAUAACGAGGCGAAAGCUUUGCUAAUACCGCAUACGAUCUACGGAUGAAAGCAGGGGACCGCAAGGCCUUGCGCGGACGGAGCGGCCGAUGGCAGAUUAGGUAGUUGGUGGGAUAAAAGCUUACCAAGCCGACGAUCUGUAGCUGGUCUGAGAGGAUGAUCAGCCACACUGGGACUGAGACACGGCCCAGACUCCUACGGGAGGCAGCAGUGGGGAAUUUUGAACAAUGGGCGCAAGCCUGAUCCAGCCAUGCCGCGUGCAGGAUGAAGGCCUUCGGGUUGUAAACUGCUUUUGUACGGAACGAAAAGCCUUCUUUUAAUACAGGAGGGUCAUGACGGUACCGUAAGAAUAAGCACCGGCUAACUACGUG